UACGUAGGGGGCAAGCGUUGUCCGGAAUCAUUGGGCGUAAAGCGCGUGUAGGCGGCUUGGUAAGUCUGCUCUGAAAGCCCGGGGCUCAACCCUGGGAGGCGGGUGGAUACUGCUGAGCUCGAGUCCGGAAGAGGCGAGUGGAAUUCCUGGUGUAGCGGUGAAAUGCGCAGAUAUCAGGAGGAACACCAGUGGCGAAGGCGGCUACCUGGACCGGUUCUGACGCUGAGGCGCGAAAGCGUGGGUAGCAAACAGG
RNAcentral lists this ribosomal RNA (253 nucleotides) under uncultured bacterium. RNAcentral's name for it is "partial 16S ribosomal RNA". It matches the Rfam family "Bacterial small subunit ribosomal RNA", at positions 524 to 776 of the family's 1533-position model. The record is from RNAcentral.